AUUGAACGCUGGCGGCAUGCUUUACACAUGCAAGUCGAACGGCAGCGCGGGCUUCGGCCUGGCGGCGAGUGGCGAACGGGUGAGGAAUGCAUCGGAACGUGCCCCGUAGUGGGGGAUAGCCCGGCGAAAGCCGGAUUAAUACCGCAUACGACCUGCGGGUGAAAGCGGGGGACCGGAAGGCCUCGCGCUAUUGGAGCGGCCGUAGUCGGAUUAGCUAGUUGGGGGGGUAAAGGCUUACCAAGGCGACGAUCCGUAGCGGGUCUGAGAGGACGACCAGCCACACUGGGACUGAGACACGGCCCAGACUCCUACGGGAGGCAGCAGUGGGGAAUUUUGGACAAUGGGGGCAACCCUGAUCCAGCCAUGCCGCGUGCGGGAAGAAGGCCUUCGGGUUGUAAACCGCUUUUGUUCGGGAAGAAAUCCUCUGGGCUAAUACCCCGGGGGGAUGACGGUACCGGAAGAAUAAGCACCGGCUAACUACGUG
RNAcentral lists this ribosomal RNA (484 nucleotides) under uncultured bacterium. RNAcentral's name for it is "partial 16S ribosomal RNA". It matches the Rfam family "Bacterial small subunit ribosomal RNA", at positions 28 to 507 of the family's 1533-position model. The record is from RNAcentral.